Stylophora pistillata is the source of this 453-nucleotide long non-coding RNA. The record is from RefSeq and is a predicted model, not a curated record. NCBI's taxonomy places the organism in Eukaryota, Metazoa, Cnidaria, Anthozoa, Scleractinia, Pocilloporidae.
UCGACCUUUUCAAGUGCGCAUGUACGUUAACACUUAUGUAGAAUAAUAUCUCUCUAUAUGUUGAGUGCGUUUCUCUCACCUCCUCGGGAAUUAAGUUUAUAAGGGUAGAGAACAUUGCCAGGAUACGAAUUAUGGAUAUUUCCUUCUCGUACUUUAGGUGGCGUGCCCUUCCUCAGUGGUUUGCGGCAGAAAUCGACACUGUAUGACGAUGGACCAACUUUAUGCGGACCUGGAAAAACUUCCUUGCGUCUAAAAGGGUUGCUCAGUCGAGGGUUGAAGAGAGAUCGAGAUCGUCGGAAGUUUUUCGAUUUGACCGGCUCCAUCUAAUAAAAUUUCACACAAUUUUGGUCAUGAAGUGUAUUCAAAGUGGAUGUCCGGAUCCUGGACCAGUUUACCGAGAGAGUUUUCGGUGUAUCUUCCUAUCUUGGCCCAUUUUCUCGUUUCCAAAACUCG